CAGGUGUAUUAAUGAACCAUGCAGGUGUAUUACUGGACCAUACAGGUGUAUUAAUGGACCAUACAGGUGUAUUAAUGAACCAUACAGGUGUAUUAAUGGACCAUACAGGUGUAUUAAUGGACCAUACAGGUGUAUUAAUGGACCAUACAGGUGUAUUACUGGACCAUACAGGUGUAUUAAUGGACCAUACAGGUGUAUUAAUGAACCAUACAGGUGUAUUAAUGGACCAUACAGGUGUAUUAAUGGACCAUACAGGUGUAUUAAUGGAUCAUACAGGUGUAUUAAUGAACCAUGCAGGUGUAUUAAUGGAUCAUACAGGUGUAUUAAUGGACUGUACAGGUGUAUUACUGGACCAUACAGGUGUAUUAAUGGACCAUACAGGUGUAUUAAUGAACCAUACAGGUGUAUUAAUGGACCAUACAGGUGUAUUAAUGGACCAUACAGGUGUAUUAAUGGACCAUACAGGUGUAUUAAUGGAUCAUACAGGUGUAUUGAUGGCCCAUACAGGUGUAUUAAUGGAUCAUACAGGUGUAUUAAUGGACUGUACAGGUGUAUUUACUGGAGUCAGUGGAUUGUCUUGACGUACUUAUAAAGACCACAUAAAUCUCUCCCCCAGUCUAAUCGUCACCUUAUCACGGUGGAGGGUUUGAGUGUCUCUGUGAUCCUGGUG
Long non-coding RNA from Acanthochromis polyacanthus (spiny chromis), 670 nucleotides. RefSeq lists it as uncharacterized. The record is from RefSeq and is a predicted model, not a curated record. The transcript has 4 exons. Lineage: Eukaryota; Metazoa; Chordata; Actinopteri; Pomacentridae.